GCUAAACGCGAAGAACCUUACCAGGGCUUGACAUCCUACUAAUGAAGCAGAGAUGCAUUAAGUGCCCUUCGGGGAAAGUAGAGACAGGUGGUGCAUGGUUGUCGUCAGCUCGUGUCGUGAGAUGUUGGGUUAAGUCCCGCAACGAGCGCAACCCCUAUUGUUAGUUGCUACGCAAGAGCACUCUAGCGAGACUGCCGUUGACAAAACGGAGGAAGGUGGGGACGACGUCAAAUCAUCAUGCCCCUUAUGUCCUGGGCCACACACGUAAUACAAUGGCGUUAAACAGAGGGAUGCUAAGCCGUGAGGUGGAGCGAACCCUAAAAGGCGUCUCAGUUCGGAUUGCAGGCUGCAACUCGCCUGCAUGAAGUCGGAAUCGCUAGUAAUCGCGGAUCAGAAUGCCGCAGUGAAUACGUUCCCCGGGUCUUGUACACA
RNAcentral lists this ribosomal RNA (432 nucleotides) under uncultured bacterium. Its description in RNAcentral is "bacterial SSU rRNA". It matches the Rfam family "Bacterial small subunit ribosomal RNA", at positions 954 to 1389 of the family's 1533-position model. The record is from RNAcentral.